This 491-nucleotide ribosomal RNA is filed under the name uncultured bacterium. RNAcentral's name for it is "partial 16S ribosomal RNA". It matches the Rfam family "Bacterial small subunit ribosomal RNA", at positions 29 to 506 of the family's 1533-position model. The record is from RNAcentral.
AGUGAACGCUGGCGGUAGGCCUAACACAUGCAAGUCGAACGGCAGCACAGUAAGAGCUUGCUCUUACGGGUGGCGAGUGGCGGACGGGUGAGGAAUACAUCGGAAUCUACUUUUUCGUGGGGGAUAACGUAGGGAAACUUACGCUAAUACCGCAUACGACCUACGGGUGAAAGCAGGGGAUCUUCGGACCUUGCGCGAUUGAAUGAGCCGAUGUCGGAUUAGCUAGUUGGCGGGGUAAAGGCCCACCAGGGCGACGAUCCGUAGCUGGUCUGAGAGGAUGAUCAGCCACACUGGAACUGAGACACGGUCCAGACUCCUACGGGAGGCAGCGGUGGGGAAUUUUGGACAAUGGGCGCAAGCCUGAUCCAGCCAUCCCGCGUGGGUGAAGAAGGCCUUCGGGUUGUAAAGCCCUUUUGUUGGGAAAGAAAAGCAGCAGGUUAAUACCCCGCUGUUCUGACGGUACCCAAAGAAUAAGCACCGGCUAACUUCGU